Molecule: non-coding RNA, 6214 nt
Organism: Saimiri boliviensis boliviensis (Bolivian squirrel monkey)
Lineage: Eukaryota; Metazoa; Chordata; Mammalia; Primates; Cebidae
Source: RefSeq, a predicted model, not a curated record
GCUGGUUGGAGGGACGAGGGGGGUGCAGAGCCAGCCAGGCCGCCCGCCCGUUCCCACAGCGGCCGAGCGAAGCAGGCUGCCAUGGCGCUGGCCAGGCCUGGGCCCCCGGCCCCCCAGCUCCUGGCCCCCCGGCCCCCGGCCCCUGUCCUGCUGCUGCUGCUGCUCUGGGUCCCUGCCCUUGCCCUCCUGGCUGGGACGGUGCCUUCAGAGCCCCCCAGUGCCUGUGCCUCAGACCCGUGCGCUCCAGGGACCGAGUGCCAGGCUACCGAAAGUGGUGGCUACACCUGUGGGCCCACAGAGCCCCGGGGCUGUGCCACCCAGCCAUGCCACCAUGGCGCUCUGUGUGUGCCCCAGGGUCCAGAUCCUGAUGGCUUCCGCUGCUACUGCGUGCCGGGUUUCCAGGGCCCACGCUGUGAGCUGGACAUCGAUGAGUGUGCAUCUCGGCCAUGCCACCACGGGGCCACCUGCCACAACCUGGCCGAUCGCUAUGAGUGCCAUUGCCCCCUUGGCUAUGCAGGCGUGACCUGCGAGACGGAGGUGGACGAGUGCGCCUCGGCGCCCUGCCUGCACGGGGGCUCGUGUCUGGACGGUGUGGGCUCCUUCCGCUGUGUGUGCGCGCCAGGCUACGGGGGCGCCCGCUGCCACCUGGACCUCGAUGAGUGCCAGAGCCAGCCGUGCGCGCACGGGGGCACGUGCCACGACCUGGUCAAUGGGUUCCAGUGCGACUGCGCAGGCACCGGCUACGAGGGCGCGCACUGCGAGCAGGAGGUGCUGGAGUGCGCAUCGGCGCCCUGCGCGCACAACGCUUCCUGUCUUGAGGGCCUCGGGAGCUUCCGCUGCCUCUGUUGGCCAGGCUACAGCGGUGAGCGAUGCGAAGUGGACGAGGACGAGUGUGCAGCGAGCCCCUGCCGCCACGGGGGCCAGUGCCUGCAGCGCUCCGACCCGGCUCUCUACGGGGGCGUCCAGCCCGCCUUCCCUGGCGAAUUCAGCUUCCGCCAUGCCGCGGGCUUCCUCUGCCUCUGCCCUCCUGGCUUUGAGGGAGCUGACUGCAGCGUGGAGGUGGACGAGUGUGCCUCACAGCCAUGCCUCAAUGGAGGCCGCUGCCAGGACCUGCCCAACGGCUUCCAGUGUCACUGCCCAGAUGGCUAUGCAGGGCCAACAUGUCAGGAAGAUGUGGAUGAAUGCCUGUCGGAUCCCUGCCUCCACGGCGGAACCUGCAGUGACACUGUGGCAGGCUAUAUCUGCUGGUGCCCAGAGACCUGGGGUGGGCGCGACUGUUCUGUGCAGCUCACUGGCUGCCAGGACCACACCUGCCCACUGGCUGCCACCUGCAUCCCUAUCUUUGAGUCUGGGGUCCACAGUUAUGUCUGCAACUGCCCACCUGGUACCCAUGGACCUUUCUGUGGCCAGAAUACCACCUUCUCUGUGAUGGCUGGGAGCCUCAUUCGGGCAUCCGUGCCAGCUGGUGGCCCCUUGGGUCUGGCACUGAGGUUUCGCACCACACUGCCCGCUGGUAUCUUGGCUACUCGCAAUGACACCAAGGAAAGCUUGGAGUUGGCAUUGGUGGCAGCCACACUUCAGGCCACACUCUGGAGCCAUGGCACCAAUGUGCUUGUCCUGAGACUGCCGGACCUGGCCUUAAACGAUGGGCAUUGGCACCAGGUGGAGGUGGCGCUCCGCCCAGGGACCCUGGAGCUGCGACUCUGGCAUGAGGGCUGCCCUGCUCGGCUCUGUGUGGCCUCUGGUCCUGUGGCCCUGGCUCCCACGGCUUCGGCAACCCCGCUGCCUGCCAGGAUCUCCUCUGCCCGGCUGGGGGACGUGGCAUUUGCAGGCUGCCUCCAGGAUGUGCAUGUGGAUGGGCACCUCCUGCUGCCUGAGGAUCUUGGCGAGAACGUCCUCCUGGGCUGCAAGCGCCGAGAGCAGUGCCAGCCUUUGCCUUGUGUCCACGGAGGGGCCUGCGUGGAUCUGUGGACUCAUUUCCGUUGCGACUGUCCACGGCCCUAUAGGGGUCCCACAUGUGGUGAUGAGAUUCCCGCCGCCACCUUUGGCUUGGGAGGCACCCCGAGCUCUGCCUCCUUUCUGCUUCAAGAGCUGCCAGGCCCCAACCUCACAGUGUCUUUCCUUCUCCGCACCCGGGAGCCUGCUGGCCUGUUGCUCCAGUUUGCCAAUGACUCCACAGCUGGCCUGACAGUAUUCCUGAGCGAGGGUCGGAUCCGGGCCGAGGUGCCAGGCAGUCCUGCCAUAGUGCUUCCUGGGCGCUGGGAUGAUGGGCUCCGCCACCUGGUGACGCUCAGCUUCGGGCCUGACCAGCUGCAGGACCUGGGGCAGCAGGUGCAUGUGGGUGGGAGGCUCCUCGCUGCCGACAGCCAACCCUGGGGUGGGCCCUUCCGAGGCUGCCUCCAGGACCUGCAACUCGAUGGCCACCGCCUCCCCUUCCUUCCUCUGCCACUGGACAACGUCAGCCAGCCCAGUGAGCUCGGUGGCAGGCAGUCCUGGAACCUCACUGCGGGCUGCGUCUCUGAGGACACAUGCAGUCCUGACCCCUGUUUCAAUGGUGGGACUUGCCUUGUCACCUGGAAUGACUUCUACUGUACCUGCCCUGCCAACUUCACAGGGCCCACGUGUGCCCAGCAGCUGUGGUGUCCCGGCCAGCCCUGUCUCCCACCUGCCACGUGUGAGGAGGUCCCCGAUGGCUUUGUGUGUGUGGCCCAGAUCACGUUCCGGGAGGGUCCCCCCGCCACGUUCAGCGGGCACAACGUGUCGUCGGGGCGUUCGCUUGGCAGCCUGUCGCUGGCCUUCCGCACGCGCGACCCCGAAGCCUGGCUGCUGCGCGCCGCAGCGGGCAACACGGCUGGAUUGUGGUUGGCAGUGCGCAACGGCUCGCUGGUGGGCGGCGUCCGUGGAGGCCGCAGCCUGCCAGGCGCUGUGCUGCCCAUGCCUGGGCUGCGCGUGGCCGACGGCGCUUGGCACCGUGUGCAGCUGGCCAUGGAGCGCCCGGCGGCCGCUGCCUCGCGCUGGCUGCUGUGGCUGGACGGCGCGGUCACGCCGGUAGCACUGCGCGGCCUGGCCGGCGACCUGGGCUUCUUGCAGGGUCCAGGUGCCGCGCGUGUCCUGCUGGCUGAGAACUUCACCGGCUGCCUGGGCCGCGUGGCGCUGGGUGGCUUCCCCUUGCCCUUGGCGCGGCCCCGGCCAGGCGCAGCCCCCGGUGCCCGAGAGCACUUCAUGGCCUGGCCUGGGGCGCCGGCCCCGAUCCCUGGCUGCCGUGGCGCGCCGGUGUGUGCGCCCUCGCCCUGCCUGCACGGCGGCGCCUGCCGCGACCUCUUCGACGCCUUCGCCUGCGCCUGCGGCCCGGGCUGGGAGGGCCCACGCUGCGAGGCCCAUGUCGACCCCUGUCACUCUGCGCCCUGCGCCCGCGGCCGCUGUCACACGCACUCUGACGGCCGUUUUGAGUGCCGCUGCCCGCCAGGCUUCGGGGGCCCUCGCUGCAGGUUGCCUGUCCCACCCAAGGAGUGCAGCCUGAACGUCACCUGCCUCAACAGCAGCCAGUGUGAGGGUGGGUCUCCUGCUGCCAACUGCAGCUGCCUGGAGGGUCUUGCUGACCAGAGGUGUUGGGUCCCCACCCUUCCCUGUGAAGCCAACCCCUGCUUGAAUGGGGGCACCUGCCGAGCAGCUGGAGGGGCAUCUGAAUGUAUCUGCAGCGCCAGGUUCUCCGGCCAGUUCUGUGAAGUGGUGAAAGGCCUGCCCCUGCCACUGCCAUUCCCACUGCUGGAGGUGGCUGUGCCUGCAGCCUGUGCCUGCCUCCUCCUCCUCCUCCUGGGCCUCCUUUCAGGGAUCCUUGCAGCCCGAAAGCGCCGCCAGUCCGAGGGCACCUAUAGCCCAAGCCAGCAGGAGGUGGCCGGGGCCCGGCUGGAGAUGGACAGUGUCCUCAAGGUGCCACCAGAGGAGAGGCUCAUCUAGGCCAGCCUGGCGGCCGGUGCCAGCACCUGGAGAUCCUGGAUGGUUUCUACCAGGAGACCCAAGGAAGCUGCUUCCAGGGCUCGGGACAUUGCUAUGGAGCCUCCGCCUCUGCCCCGUCGUGGAUGGAGGACAAGUGGAGCAACUCAGGGAAGCAGAAGCCUAGAGAGGCCGUGGACUCCUCCCUCCCACCCACGGGGUGCCGCCUCGGCAGGUGUACGGCUGUGUGGGAGGGCACACGUGUCUGAAGUGUCAUCUCCCUGGCCAGAGUUGCGGGAAAGAGUGGAUAUGGGGCCUACUUGGGGUUUGGCAAGAAGGCUGGAGCCAGGGCUUAAGAAUGACAGAGCAACGUUUCUUCACCAAGCAAGCCCCCCGCCGGCUCACCCGCCUACCUCUGGCUCUCCAGCCCUGGUCCUCCCUAGUGGCCUGGUGAGCUCAUUCCUUCCUGUGAUGACUGACUGCCUCUACACAGAUUCUGUGAGAGGACUCAAAGGAAACCCUGGAUUGCCUGCCGAGUAGAGGAGCUCAGCAAACACUGGCGCUGCCUCUGUGUCAGAGGCAGACCCAGGGGAGACUCUGCUGCUUGCUCCCAGCCCCUUCCCUGGCAAUGCCCAUCACAUCGUGACCUCUGAUCCCAGAAGGGCACCUGCCUGAGGGCCUGGCGCCUUCCAGCCUCGUGGACCUGGAGAUGUGCCCUUUCGUCCUUCCUGCUUCCCAGGCAGGAGAUCCGUUUACACUUUUGGGUCAACAGUCAGCUUUUCCUUUCAGUUUCAGCUGGUCCCAGAGGCAUGGAUGGCCAAGGUGGAGCCACGUGACCACUUGGGGGCACUGGGACAUGGGACUGGGGAGUCAGCAGAGGCUGGGAUGGAGAGGGGUUUGCCUGGUCCUUAUCCCUGUAGGAGGUGGGACUGCCUUUCCCUGAACUUUCUCUAUUACCCUUGGGAACCUGGGGAGGAAGCAUCCGGUUCCGUGGCCUCAGCUAGUUCCUGGGUCAGUUAUUGAGUCAGGGAUUUGGAAAACCUGUGUCAGCUGCAACUCCUAGGAUAUGUAAUGUGGUGGUCCACCAUGCAGAUGAAAGCCAGCUGCCCCCUGUCCCCUUCCUAGCUCCUUUGGGUUCGGGUGCCUGUCGUUUUCGAGGGCAGUUCUGUGAAGAGGAGCAUGGUCAGAUGAUGGGCAAGUGGGGGAGGUGUGAGACUGGGUGUAUCCAGCCUCACUGGGGGGGGGGGUCGACUGCUCCACAUCCCCCUCCACACACCAGCAUUCAACAGAGGCACAUUCCCAGGCUGUUCUCUUGCUAAUGAGACCUGUGGGGCAACUGGCCAGGUGUCCCCUAGAAGUCUUUCCUGGCUCCUGGGUGCGCUCAACACCGUUGCAGGCCUGCAGCCUGUUCCGUGGCCCCAGCAGGGCUGAGCAGGCCUGUUGCCAGCCCAACCCCAUGCCUGGUCUGUGAGGGGCAGGGCAUGAGCUGGCUUGGAGCCCCAAGUGGGCACCGGGAGUUGGCUCCUUCCCUAACUAACUGCUCUGCGCCUGCCCCCGGCCUCUACGGGAGUGGGUGGCAAACAUGGCUCAGGGCCCUUGUGGAGCCUUCCCUCCCCAAGAGCUUGAAGGACACGGGGAUGCCAGCCUUUCCCCAAGAUGAUUUUAUUGAAUGCGCACACAAAGUUCAUCCUUGGGUUUGCAAAGUCAGUCCCACAAGUGAAGAGAGUAGUGCUCGUGUGAACGUGGGGCACUCACCCUCAGGCUCCACCCUCCUUCCCGGGGGCCACCAGCACCUCUCCUCCUCCUCCUCCUCUGUCCUGUCCCGGAUGAGGCCUAGGGAGUCUGCCCAGGGAGUGAAACUGGAAUCUGUGCUGAAGUACCCAAGUGCCUGGGAGGUGCUGCCAUGGCCCAGGAGUGACAUGGCUUCCCCAGCAGCCAGAGCCCACCCCUGCGCCAGACAGGUUGUAGGUGACCCAGGAUGGCCGCCAAGCCUCACCGACCAUGUGCAGCAGUGGUGGCCUCUCACAGAGGGGGUCCCUGGGUGACAGAGACCUCCAGAGACCCCUCAGACACCCCUGGGGAGACUGUCUGACCCUUCAAAAAUAGGAAAUGAGAGCUUGGGUGGAAAUGCUCACAAUUUCCUGCAUGUCUCAGAUGGUUGUUUUCUUACAUAGUCGGGCCGUACUUUAACUUGGUUUAUGGAAAUGAAUCAAUUUCAUGAUUCAUCAAAUCAAUAAGGUAAAAAGGAAAAAUAAUAAAACAUUCAAUCUGACUUUGGUGA